This 1689-nucleotide long non-coding RNA is filed under the name Sus scrofa (pig). Its description in RNAcentral is "lncRNA (ENSSSCG00045026649.1, ENSSSCG00065012434.1)". Lineage: Eukaryota; Metazoa; Chordata; Mammalia; Artiodactyla; Suidae. The record is from RNAcentral.
UUUUGCAGAAAUAACUCCAGCAUGCUUGGGAGAUCUGGGGAGUUCCUCUGAAGUGCACGACUUAUUUUUUUGUUCUACUUAAAAAUCUGCUGUAAAGAAAAUCUGGAAGCGUUUUAGCAAAUGCAACAGGAGACUUCCAGUGACUUUGCUGUAAAAGAACAGUGCAAAACCAAACCAAUCCAACCCCCACCCCCUCACUUUCAGAGAGCUUUUCAGUAACCUGUCUUCUUCUCGAAGGGUUACCCUAGACAGACACGGGGGUGGGGGCCAAUUUAACAGGGAAUGGUCCGAAAAGUCUGUUUCUGCGCAAAUAAAAUCCACCCCCACUAGCAACUAUUCCACCCCUGGGAUUUCCCAGCUAUGCAAGGAGACAUUUCCUGUGCAGACUUUUUUUUUCCCCCCUUUGGUUUCUUUUCCUCCUCUCCAGUCAUCCUAGAAAAUUUAGGGUCAGCACGCCUUCUGAUUCUGGAGGCUGGGCAGCCGCCAGGCUUGCAGUCACGUGACUCGGACCUUCCUUUCACGGACCCCGUUAGGCACAGGACCACGUCAUUCCGUGGUCAGGCACAGCUGCCCUCAGACCACGAGACCACCCCCUUCUCCCCCAUUCAAGAGGCAGAGGCUUUCAGAACUUCAGCUCAAGCAAGAAGCAGCCUCCCUGACCCCAGAGAUCAAAGACCCCGUGCAGCAGGACGUGAGGAUGCAGUCCAUUGUCUGAGCUUGGGCUGCGGACGCAGACUCCCCCAGACUUGAGGCUCACCCCGCAGGCGUGUAUGUCUCACCCUGCUGCAGACCGGAAGUCUGAGACUGAGAUGUAGCUUCUGGUGAGACCUCUCUGCCUGAUGUGCAGGCGGCCCCCUUCUUGGGGUGUCCCCGCUUGGUGGAGAGGAGAGGGGGAGCCUGGGUCUCUCCUCCUGGUUUCACAAGGACCUUCAGCCCAUCAGGGGGGCCCCACACUCUUGACCUCAUCUCAGCCUCAUCCCGUCCCCAAGGCAUCACUUCCUAAUACCAUCACCCUGGGGACAACUGCUCUCCCACUUGUGAAUAAUAGAGGGGUACCCGCCAGUCCCUGGCACACAUAUUGUCAACACGCUGGCUCUCGAGGAGAGAUGCUGGGGGUCCUGUUGUGACACUAUAACUUAGGAAGCAGCUUCAAUCUGCCAUCUGGACACGGAGCCUCCCCCUUGGAUGAAAGCCCUGAGGGUUUCCUGGACACUUCUUAGGAGAAACGGAGCCAGUCCAUACUCGGGGCAUCAGACACGACGUAUGGUAAGGUUCAUUCCUGGAUAUCGAGCAGCCCCUGGCCAGGAGCCAGGCUCAGGCAGGGCACCUGGAAUGUUCCCCUCCAGGAGGCCCGCUCCCCCGUUUUUCCCUUCACUCUUAGGUUUUACGCAGCCUUUCUCAGCCCUGCCCUUUCCUCCCAGGUGGGCGGCGCUGACAGCCCCCACCUGACUCCUCAAGGACCCUUCUAUCCCAGGUCAGAUUCCUCCUGGAAGCCGGAAUACCUCCUCUGCUUCUGCGCGAGGUCACGCCGUCUUCUCCGGCCUGUUUGUCGCCCUCUCCGUUGGCCGCUUCUCACUUGCCCCAGCCGGGCACCACGGGGCUCCCCAAAGUGCUGGUCCCGGCCCAGCCCCCUCAGGCUCUCCAAAUGGGAGGGGAGCCUUCCACCUUUUUUUGGCAGGAGGCUUCUGG